AACGAACGCUGGCGGCAGGCCUAACACAUGCAAGUCGAGCGCCCCGCAAGGGGAGCGGCGGACGGGUGAGUAACGCGUGGGAACGUACCCUUUGCUACGGAAUAGCCUCGGGAAACUGGGAGUAAUACCGUAUGUGCCCUUCGGGGGAAAGAUUUAUCGGCAAAGGAUCGGCCCGCGUUGGAUUAGGUAGUUGGUGGGGUAAUGGCCUACCAAGCCGACGAUCCAUAGCUGGUUUGAGAGGAUGAUCAGCCACACUGGGACUGAGACACGGCCCAGACUCCUACGGGAGGCAGCAGUGGGGAAUCUUAGACAAUGGGCGCAAGCCUGAUCUAGCCAUGCCGCGUGAGCGAUGAAGGCCUUAGGGUUGUAAAGCUCUUUCAGUGGGGAAGAUAAUGACUGUACCCACAGAAGAAGCCCCGGCUAACUCCGUGCCAGCAGCCGCGGUAAAAUGCGUACU
This 457-nucleotide ribosomal RNA is filed under the name uncultured bacterium. RNAcentral describes it as "bacterial SSU rRNA". It matches the Rfam family "Bacterial small subunit ribosomal RNA", at positions 29 to 531 of the family's 1533-position model. The record is from RNAcentral.